UUUCAACUUGCUUAGAUAGCUGAGUUUUUUAUAUGUUUUAUAGGGUGGAGGAGUUGCUGCAAAGAAGGGAGUUAUCGCAGCACCAAGACUAAUUAGCUCUACAGAGCUUGAAGACUUUCGGCCCCUCAUACAAUACCGGAAGGAUCGGGAUACAAACCUAAUGUUAGAAAUUCUCGACGGAAAGAUGCUGAAGGAUGGUUAUUUAUACAAAAAAGUGGGCACUGAUUCAUUGAGCUAUUGGGGUGUAAUGCCUACUGAAGCUGAACUCCUGAAGUUUGAACCUUCUAAAAGUGAUGGACCCCAGGAUGUAGAGUGGCUUACCCAGCUUUACGGUGACCGGAAGAAAAAGAGAAUUAUAAAUGAUUUCAAGGUUGGUCAGAAAGGAGGUGAGAAAGGAGAGGGUUCUUCAAGCUCUAGCAUGGAAAACAAUUUUGAAGUAGAUGAUCUUGUAUUUUUUGGUAGGAAUGAUUUUGGCAUUAUUAUUGGCAAGGAGAAAGAUGAUAGCUUUAAGAUCAUGAAAGAUGGUUCAGAGAGACCUGUGGUAGUGAGCAUUCAACUGCGUGAGUUGAAGCGUGCAUCUUUUGAUAGGAAGCUAUUCACCGUGAAAGAUCAGCUAACCAAUACCAUCUCAGUUGGUGAUAUGGUUAGAGUUUUGGAUGGUCCCUUGAAGGAUAGACAAGGAAUUGUUAAGCAGAUCUAUAAAGGAGUCGUCUUUCUAUAUGACCAAAGUGAGCAGGAUAAUAGUGGUUAUCUCUGUGUCAAAGGUCAGAUGUGUGAAAAAAUUACAGGCAGUGAUGGUGUAUCAAAUGAGAAGGGUAGUGAGCCUGGUCCCUCAGGUUUUGCAGAUUUCUCGUCAUCCCCUAAAUCCCCUCUUUCGCCUGAGAAAUCUUGGAGAGCGAAGGAUGAUAACUGCAGCUUCAAGCACGAUGAUAAAGAUGGAAUGUUUUCCGUUGGUCAGUCUCUAAGAAUCCGAGUGGGGCCUUUGAAGGGAUAUCUUUGUCGUGUAGUAGCCAUUCGACGUUCUGAUGUUACAGUAAAGCUUGAUUCCCGGCAAAAAAUUCUUACAGUUAAAUCUGAACACCUGGCAGAAGUUCAUGGAAAGAGUUCUAUCACGUCUCUUGGGGUCGAUGGUGAUUCUGCAAAACCUUUUGACCUGCUUGGAACACAGGAUGGUUCUCAAGAUUGGAUGGUUCAAGGGGCCACAGAAACUGAGGGUAACACCGAGAAUGCAGGAGCAUCAUCCUCUGCUGAAAGUUCUUGGCCUGCCUUUCCUGCUGUUGCUGGCUCUGGGCAAGAUGAUGGCUGGACAAAACCUGAUGGUUGGGCGAAAGGUACUUCUACUGCUGGCGCUACUAGUGCUGUGUCUGACGGCUGGGGCAAAAAGGUUGAAUCACAUCAAGAGAGCACCGAGAAGGUUAUGGAUGAUCCCUGGGGAUCUGUGCAAAAACAAGAGAAAAAUGAUGAUUCGGGCAGAACCUCAUGGAGCAAGCAGGAUGCUGGAUCUUCUUGGGGUAAGCAAUCUGAUGCAGAUCCAGAGACUGACUGGAAAAAGCAAGAUGGUGGAGCGAACAAGACAGAUAGAAAAACCUCUUGGAGCCAGCAGGACGCUGGAAGUGAUGGUGGAUCCUCUUGGGGUGCGCAAGCGGGAGUAUCUUCUUGGGGUAAGCAAUCUGAUGCAAAUGCAGAGACUGGCUGGAAAAAGCAAGACGGUGUAUCAAAUAAGACAGAUAGCAAAACCUCGUGGAGCCAGCAGGGUGCUGGAUCUUCUUGGAAGAAAAGUGAUGGUGAAGGUGGAUCCUCUUGGACUAAACAAUCUGAUGCCACUGCAGAGACUGACUGGAAAAAGAAAAAUGAUGGAUCUGGCUGGAAAAAGCCAGAUAGCAAUGCUUCGUGGAGCCAGCAAGAUGCUGGAUUUUCUUCGAAGAAAAGUGAAGGUGAAGGUGGUUCUUGGAGUAAGCAAUCUGAUGCAAAGGCAGAGAAUGACUGGAAAAAGCAAGAUGGUGGAUCUAGUAGCUGGGGUGGUGGUACGGACCUAGAGGGGAGCUGGGGAAAGCCAAGACAAUUUGAUGGAGGUCGUGGAUCAGGUGGCAGGAGAGGACGAGGUGGUUGGCGAGGGGGUCGAGAUCAAAGUGGUAGAGGAAGAUCUUUUAAUCAAGGACAGUCUAGUAGCUGGACUACUGAAGGUGAAGGCAAUAAUAAUUCUAGUAAUGUAGAAUUUAAGGGGAACCAGUCUAGUUGGAAUAGUUCGCAGGNACAGGAACUUGGUUGGGGAAAAGUUAAUGAUGACACCAGUAUUGCUGGUAAUCGAUCAUCUGAUUUUCAGAGUGGUGGUGGUUGGAAUGCCUCCAAACCAUCAAAUGAAGGAUGGUCUUCUGGUUGGAAUAAGAAUUCAGCCUCAAAGGAGGUAGGAGGUUCUAGUGGAAACCAGUCUGAUUGGGACAAAAGAUCUGGUGAAUCUGGGAGCAAGCAGUCAGCUGGUUGGGACAAUAAGAUCACUCAGAAAGAGGCAGCAGGAAACUCCUCUGCCUGGAAUAGCAAAGCUGCAGUCGAUAAUGAAGACACCAGUAUUGCUGGUAAUCAAUCAUCUGAUUUCCAGAGUGGUGGUGGUUGGAAUGCCUCCAAACCAUCAAACGAAGGAUGGUCUUCUGGUUGGAACAAGAAUUCAGUCUCAAAGGAGGUAGGAGGUCCUAGUGGAAACCAGUCUGAUUGGGACAAAAAAUCUGGUGAAUCUGGGAGCAAGCAGUCAGCUGGUUGGGAUAACAAGAUCACUCAUAAAGAGUCAGCAGGAAACUCCUCUGCAUGGAAUAGCAAAUCUGCAGUCGAACAAGAUGCCAAUGGGAAAAAUCAAAAUGAUCCAUGGAGUGGUAAAAGAACUUCAGAUGGAGGUUCAUCUACAGGAUGGGGUCAAAGUAAUUUGUGGAAGAGCGGAAAGGAUGAUGCCGUUGGAAAUCAAGAUUCCUGGAGCAGCAAAAGUAACUGGAAUUCUGGCAGUGGUUUUGGUAACAACGACCAGCAAUCUGAUUCUUAUGGUGACCGGGGAAGAGGUGGUAGUUGGAGGGGAGGCCGUGAUGGAUCAGAUCGAGGUGGAUACGGAGGUAGGGGUGGUUCAGAUCGCGGUGGCUUUGGAGGAAGGGGAGGUUUUCGAGGUAGAGGGGACAGGGGAGGUUUUAGAGGUAGAGGAUCGGAUGGGGGAGGAUUUCGUGGUAGAGGGCAUGGAAGGAGGGAUGAAAGUGGUGAUUGGCAAAAUAGAACUGAUUCGCAGGAAGAUAAAGCCUACGGUUGGAGCAAAGAGUCAGGCAGUGAUGCUGAGGGAUUUAAGUCUAAUAAGGGCAGUUGGAGUCAAGGUAACAAUGACAGAGGGAGCUGGAAGACUGCUGAUAGUAGAGGUAAUGUUAAUGAUGGUGGAUGGAAGAAAGGAUUCGACUCCGAGAAGAAUGGGAGUGGAAGUGGUACUAGUGCCACCAGUUGGAAUACUCCAGGAAAUAGUUGGAAAACUUCUACUGCUACUACGGGAGGUACAUCUUCAGGGUGGGGUCAACAGACAACUGUUAGUGAAAAGGAGGAUCAGAAUGGUUUGGGAACAAGUUGGAACCAGGGGACUGCUUCAGGAAAUGCGAGCACAGCUUGGACUGCAAACAAAUCAAAAGAAACAAGUGAUGGACCGAGUGAUGCGUGGGGUAAAACAACCAGCUCUUGGGGCAAAGGAAACAGUUCUGGCAGCCAGGGAGGGGGGCAGCAGCCAACUGUUAGUGAAAAGGAGGAUCAGAAUGGUAUGGGAAUAAGCUGGAACCAGGGAACUGCUUCAGGAAAUGCGAGCACAGCUUGGACUGCAAACAAAUCAAAAGAAACAAGUGAUGGACCGACUGAUGCGUGGGGUAAAGCAACCAACUCUUGGGGCAAAGGAAACAGUUCUGGCAGUCAGGGAGGGGGUAAGCAGACAACUGUUAGUGGAAAGGAGGAUCAGAAUGGCAUGGGAACAAGCUGGAACCAGGGAGCUGCUUCAGGAAAUGCGACCACAGCUUGGACUGCAAACAAAUCCAAUACUGAGGAUGUGAACAAAUCAAAAGAAACAAGUGAUGGACCGAGUGAUGCGUGGGGUAAAGCAACCAACUCUUGGGGCAAAGGAAACAGUUCUGGCAGUCAGGGAGGCUGGUGACAUCUUUGAACAGUCUGGUUUGAAUGGUGGAAAGAGAGGAUGUUGAAGAAAUCAAAGAAGAAAGACUGGGUUUGUUGAAGAAAACGAAGAAGAAUUUUGCUUUGCCUGUCUUUAUUUUGUUUGUUGAGUGCCACUUCAUCAGCGAUUGAGUUGCACGCACUUGGUCUUUUGUCAGGUUCCGUAAGGUUCAAUUGACAUAAUUUGAGCAUGGUUCAAGUCCAUGAUUAAGGAAGGUCUGGUUUGAAUGGUGGAAAGAGAGGAUGUUGAAGAAAUCAAAGAAGAAAGACUGGGUUUGUUGAAGAAAACGAAGAAGAAUUUUGCUUUGCCUGUCUUUAUUUUGUUUGUUGAGUGCCACUUCAUCAGCGAUUGAGUUGCACGCACUUGGUCUUUUGUCAGGUUCCGUAAGGUUCAAUUGACAUAAUUUGAGCAUGGUUCAAGUCCAUGAUUAAGGAAGGUCAGGAAGAUAAACAUCAAAGAAGAAGGUAGAAAAAACGAAAGACUAAUGCUUUGUGUCUGCAGGUCUGGUUUGAAUGGUGGAAAGAGAGGAUGUUGAAGAAAUCAAAGAAGAAAGACUGGGUUUGUUGAAGAAAACGAAGAAGAAUUUUGCUUUGCCUGUCUUUAUUUUGUUUGUUGAGUGCCACUUCAUCAGCGAUUGAGUUGCACGCACUUGGUCUUUUGUCAGGUUCCGUAAGGUUCAAUUGACAUAAUUUGAGCAUGGUUCAAGUCCAUGAUUAAGGAAGGUCAGGAAGAUAAACAUCAAAGAAGAAGGUAGAAAAAACGAAAGACUAAUGCUUUGUGUCUGCAGGUCUGGUUUGAAUGGUGGAAAGAGAGGAUGUUGAAGAAAUCAAAGAAGAAAGACUGGGUUUGUUGAAGAAAACGAAGAAGAAUUUUGCUUUGCCUGUCUUUAUUUUGUUUGUUGAGUGCCACUUCAUCAGCGAUUGAGUUGCACGCACUUGGUCUUUUGUCAGGUUAUUUUGCUAUGGAGGGUCGACCGAGUUAUCCAUGUAAAUGAUCUGGUUUUUGGCUUGUAAAAAGAACUAAAGGAUGGACUUGGUCUUUGGGGAAAGCAUAAAUGGCACUUUAGAUGCUAGAUGUAUAAGCAAUUAGACUUGAAUUGCAGAAUACCAACUUCUGAAUGUUGGAUGUUUGAUAAUCUCUUACUUAAUUUUCACUUUAGUGCAAACCAAGGAGUAAAGCUAAAGUGAAUUAAUUUAAGAACAAGAAGUAUAACCUAGGUUGGUGUAUGGUGUUUCAACAGUUUGUGUUUGGUCCAGUACCUGUCUCUUCUAGUUGUUUUAUUUACUUUUGUUUGAUUACUUA
Non-coding RNA from Nicotiana tabacum (common tobacco), 5476 nucleotides. The record is from RefSeq and is a predicted model, not a curated record. NCBI's taxonomy places the organism in Eukaryota, Viridiplantae, Streptophyta, Magnoliopsida, Solanales, Solanaceae.